This 259-nucleotide ribosomal RNA is filed under the name uncultured Streptomyces sp. RNAcentral's name for it is "partial 16S ribosomal RNA". It matches the Rfam family "Bacterial small subunit ribosomal RNA", at positions 252 to 524 of the family's 1533-position model. Lineage: Bacteria; Bacillati; Actinomycetota; Actinomycetes; Kitasatosporales; Streptomycetaceae. The record is from RNAcentral.
GCUGGGGGUUGGCCUACCAGGCGACGACGGGUAGCCGGCCUGAGAGGGCGACCGGCCACACUGGGACUGAGACACGGCCCAGACUCCUACGGGAGGCAGCAGUGGGGAAUAUUGCACAAUGGGCGAAAGCCUGAUGCAGCGACGCCGCGUGAGGGAUGGCGGCCUUCGGGUUGUAAACCUCUUUCCUCAGGGAAGAAGCGAAAGUGACGGUACCUGCAAAAUAAGCGCCGGCUAACUACGUGCCACCAGCCGCGGCCGA